AGAGUUUGAUCCUGGCUCAGAACGAACGCUGGCGGCGUGCCUAACACAUGCAAGUCCAACGUGAAAGGGGAGCAAUCCCCCGGUAGGGUGGCAAACGGGUGAGUAAUACAUGGGUGAUCUACCUUAGGGAUGGGGAUAUCCUUCCGAAAGGAGGGGCAAUACCGAAUAUUGUCCGGAACCGUGAAGGGUUUCGGGGAAAGGGAGGCCUCUGACACAAGCUUUCGCCUUAAGAUGAGCCCAUGGCCCAUCAGCUAGUUGGUAGGGUAAAGGCCUACCAAGGCUACGACGGGUCGCUGGUCUGAGAGGACGACCAGCCACACUGGCACUGAGAUACGGGCCAGACUCCUACGGGAGGCAGCAGUGAGGAAUAUUGCGCAAUGGGGGAAACCCUGACGCAGCAACGCCGCGUGUGGGAAGAAGGCCUUCGGGUCGUAAACCACUUUUACUCGGGACGAAAAAGGGAUAUCAAAUAAAUAUCCCCGAUGACGGUACCGGGAGAAUAAGCCACGGCUAACUCUGUGCCAGCAGCCGCGGUAAGACGGAGGUGGCAAGCGUUGUUCGGAAUUACUGG
RNAcentral lists this ribosomal RNA (571 nucleotides) under uncultured bacterium. RNAcentral's name for it is "bacterial SSU rRNA". It matches the Rfam family "Bacterial small subunit ribosomal RNA", at positions 8 to 557 of the family's 1533-position model. The record is from RNAcentral.